GCUAAUACCGGAUAAGAAAGCGGAUCGCAUGAUCAGCUUUUAAAAGGCGGCGUAAGCUGUCGCUAUGGGAUGGCCCCGCGGUGCAUUAGCUAGUUGGUAAGGUAAAGGCUUACCAAGGCGAUGAUGCAUAGCCGAGUUGAGAGACUGAUCGGCCACAUUGGGACUGAGACACGGCCCAAACUCCUACGGGAGGCAGCAGGC
RNAcentral lists this ribosomal RNA (201 nucleotides) under uncultured Lactobacillus sp. Its description in RNAcentral is "partial 16S ribosomal RNA". It matches the Rfam family "Bacterial small subunit ribosomal RNA", at positions 162 to 354 of the family's 1533-position model. The record is from RNAcentral. Lineage: Bacteria; Bacillati; Bacillota; Bacilli; Lactobacillales; Lactobacillaceae.